This 650-nucleotide ribosomal RNA is filed under the name dothideomycete sp. 7399. RNAcentral's name for it is "eukaryotic LSU rRNA". The stretch from base 200 to 353 matches the Rfam family "5.8S ribosomal RNA". The record is from RNAcentral. Lineage: Eukaryota; Fungi; Ascomycota; Dothideomycetes.
AGAGGAAGUAAAAGUCGUAACAAGGUUUCCGUAGGUGAACCUGCGGAAGGAUCAUUACCUAGAGUUUGUGGGCUUUGCCUGCUAUCUCUUACCCAUGUCUUUUGAGUACCUUACGUUUCCUCGGUGGGUUCGCCCACCGAUUGGACAAAUUUAAACCCUUUGCAGUUGAAAUCAGCGUCUGAAAAAACUUAAUAGUUACAACUUUCAACAACGGAUCUCUUGGUUCUGGCAUCGAUGAAGAACGCAGCGAAAUGCGAUAAGUAGUGUGAAUUGCAGAAUUCAGUGAAUCAUCGAAUCUUUGAACGCACAUUGCGCCCCUUGGUAUUCCAUGGGGCAUGCCUGUUCGAGCGUCAUUUGUACCUUCAAGCUCUGCUUGGUGUUGGGUGUUUGUCUCUUGUAGACUCGCCUUAAAACAAUUGGCAGCCGGCGUAUUGAUUUCGGAGCGCAGUACAUCUCGCGCUUUGCACUCAUAACGACGACGUCCAAAAGUACAUUUUUACACUCUUGACCUCGGAUCAGGUAGGGAUACCCGCUGAACUUAAGCAUAUCAAUAAGCGGAGGAAAAGAAACCAACAGGGAUUGCCCUAGUAACGGCGAGUGAAGCGGCAACAGCUCAAAUUUGAAAUCUGGCGUCUUCGGCGUCCGAGUUG